UACGUAGGGAGCAAGCGUUGUUCGGAUUUACUGGGCGUAAAGGGCGCGUAGGCGGCAAAUUAAGUCAGCUGUGAAAUCUCCGAGCUUAACUCGGAACUGUCAGCUGAUACUGAUCUGCUAGAGUGCGGAAGGGGCAAUCGGAAUUCUUGGUGUAGCGGUGAAAUGCGUAGAUAUCGGGAAGAACACCCGUGGCGAAGGCGGCUCUCUGGGACGGUACUGACGCUGAGACGCGAAAGCGUGGGGAGCGAACAGG
RNAcentral lists this ribosomal RNA (253 nucleotides) under uncultured bacterium. RNAcentral describes it as "partial 16S ribosomal RNA". It matches the Rfam family "Bacterial small subunit ribosomal RNA", at positions 524 to 776 of the family's 1533-position model. The record is from RNAcentral.